GUGAAUCAUCGAAUCUUUGAACGCACAUUGCGCCCCGUGGCAUUCCGCGGGGCAUGCCUGUUCGAGCGUCAUUUCACCACUCAAGCCUAGCUUGGUAUUGGGCGUCGCGGUUCCGCGCGCCUUAAAGUCUCCGGCUGAGCAGUCCGUCUCUAAGCGUUGUGGCAUAUAUUUCGCUCAAGAGUUCGGACGGCUUUUGGCCGUUAAAUCUCUACAAAGGUUGACCUCGGAUCAGGUAGGGAUACCCGCUGAACUUAAGCAUAUCAAUAAGCGGAGGA
RNAcentral lists this unclassified non-coding RNA (275 nucleotides) under Pseudocercosporella sp. RNAcentral describes it as "partial contains 5.8S ribosomal RNA, internal transcribed spacer 2, and large subunit ribosomal RNA". The stretch from base 1 to 71 matches the Rfam family "5.8S ribosomal RNA", at positions 84 to 154 of the family's 154-position model. The record is from RNAcentral. Lineage: Eukaryota; Fungi; Ascomycota; Dothideomycetes; Mycosphaerellales; Mycosphaerellaceae.